This 472-nucleotide ribosomal RNA is filed under the name uncultured bacterium. RNAcentral describes it as "partial 16S ribosomal RNA". It matches the Rfam family "Bacterial small subunit ribosomal RNA", at positions 28 to 507 of the family's 1533-position model. The record is from RNAcentral.
GACGAACGCUGGCGGCGUGCUUAACACAUGCAAGUCGAACGCUGAAGCUUGGUGCUUGCACUGGGUGGAUGAGUGGCGAACGGGUGAGUAAUACGUGAGUAACCUGCCCUUGACUCUGGGAUAAGCCUGGGAAACUGGGUCUAAUACUGGAUACGACAUGUCACCGCAUGGUGGUGUGUGGAAAGGGUUUUACUGGUUUUGGAUGGGCUCACGGCCUAUCAGCUUGUUGGUGGGGUAAUGGCUCACCAAGGCGACGACGGGUAGCCGGCCUGAGAGGGUGACCGGCCACACUGGGACUGAGACAUGGCCCAGACUCCUACGGGAGGCAGCAGUGGGGAAUAUUGCACAAUGGGCGGAAGCCUGAUGCAGCGACGCCGCGUGAGGGAUGACGGCCUUCGGGUUGUAAACCUCUUUCAGCACGGAAGAAGCGAAAGUGACGGUACGUGCAGAAGAAGCGCCGGCUAACUACGUG